AUUGGAGAGCGUGCUCUCCUGGCGGUCGACCUAGCAGUCUCCUCGAGAGACAUAUUUCGCGGCCGGGGCCGCCCUCAUAUCUCUUCAUAGAAGCGUUUCGCGCUCCGCGCGAAACGCGAGCCAACGCGCCGCCGGCGCAACGCCUCGCGGCAAGCGUUUUCGCGUCCGCGAAAACGCAGAGAGCUGGCGCAGAGCACGGCUCGCAACAGCUCGUUCGCGCAACGAGCCAACGAUCGGCGCUCGCCGCCGCGUCGCCGCGGAGCGAAUUCCGCUGCGCGUUCCGGGGCCUUAGCUCAUCUGGGAGAGCGCCUGCUUUGCACGCAGGAGGUGGUCGGUUCAAGUCCGACAGGCUCCACCAAAAGCUUUGCAACGCCCCCAUUGACCGCCGCGUUUCGCCGUGCUUCAGGGGAGCCGCGUCAUGGGUCGGUAGCUCAGGUGGUUAGAGCGCACGCCUGAUAAGCGUGAGGUCGGAGGUUCAAGUCCUCCUCGACCCACCAUGCGCAUCGCAUCACAGGUGAUCAGACAUCUGACAUCGACUUUACGAAGUUGAUGUCAGAUCUCUGCUCGCAGAGAUCUUUUACAUCGUGAAGAGAGAGUUAUGGAUUGCGCAAAGCGUUGCUCCAGCAAUGCUUGAGUUGACGCGCAAUCCAAGUCUUGACUGACUGACCGAUGGCGGUCGCAUGUUCCCGAGUUCCGGAGCACGACCGUCUAACUGAGCGAUCUGAAGAGCACGCAGCGCGUGUUUUCUUCUGGAUCGGAUCAAGCGCAAGAAGGGCGUUUGGUGAAUGCCUUGGCGAUCAGAGGCGAUGAAGGACGUGAUACGCUGCGAUAAGCCGUGGGGAGCUGCGAAUAAGCUUUGAUCCGCGGAUUUCCGAAUGGGGAAACCCGGAAGC
RNAcentral lists this unclassified non-coding RNA (893 nucleotides) under uncultured bacterium. Its description in RNAcentral is "partial contains 16S ribosomal RNA, 16S-23S ribosomal RNA intergenic spacer, and 23S ribosomal RNA". The stretch from base 758 to 893 matches the Rfam family "Bacterial large subunit ribosomal RNA", at positions 1 to 135 of the family's 2925-position model. The record is from RNAcentral.